Molecule: ribosomal RNA, 254 nt
Filed under: uncultured bacterium
Lineage: Bacteria
Description: partial 16S ribosomal RNA
Rfam family: Bacterial small subunit ribosomal RNA
Source: RNAcentral
CACGUAGGGGGCGAGCGUUGUCCGGAUUUAUUGGGCGUAAAGAGCUCGUAGGCGGUUUGGCAAGUCGGGUGUGAAAUUUCGAGGCUCAACCUCGAAACGCCACUCGAUACUGCCAUGACUGGAGUCCGGUAGAGGAGUGCGGAAUUCCUGGUGUAGCGGUGAAAUGCGCAGAUAUCAGGAGGAACACCAACGGCGAAGGCAGCACUCUGGGCCGGUACUGACGCUGAGGAGCGAAAGUGUGGGGAGCGAACAGG